Molecule: long non-coding RNA, 474 nt
Filed under: Zea mays
Lineage: Eukaryota; Viridiplantae; Streptophyta; Magnoliopsida; Poales; Poaceae
Description: long non-coding RNA (ZMAY_LNC005730)
Source: RNAcentral
UCUAACUUUUGUGCCUAAGAUUAGUUUUUUAAUCCGAACGACUAACAUUAAACAUUAAACAAAGUGUAGCACAUUUAACCACAAACCAAACAGUCCCUAAAUUUUCUUCGAGUCAUUUUUUACCGGGAGCGAAUUUAAUCCACUCUAAUUCCCUUCUAAAUUGGUCUAACCUAAAAAGCGUGAUUCAUCAGUCAAGCAAUCGUCGCAUAUAGUACAAGAUGUAGUAAUAAUAUAUUACACACACGUACAUAUAUGCCGCCCAUCCAAAUCCGAUGUAUAUAGGAAGAGGAGUAUGUGCCCGACCGGGCCGCUGUCUACUAGCACGGCUGGCCGACGAUGCACUUGAGUGGUCCGGCGAAGCGCGUGAGCUGACCGACGUAGCGGCCGUGCUUGGCCGGGAUGAAGUCGAACCUGUCGUACUUGCGCUCGUUCUGGCCGCCGGACUCGUUGAAGAAGGCGCCGUUCAUCAUGACG